UUACGGGAGGCAGCAGUAGGGAAUCUUCCGCAAUGGACGCAAGUCUGACGGAGCAACGCCGCGUGAGUGACGAAGGUUUUCGGAUCGUAAAACUCUGUUGUGAGGGAAGAACACGUACCAGGUAACUACUGGUACCUUGACGGUACCUCACCAGAAAGCCACGGCUAACUACGUGCCAGCAGCCGCGGUAAUACGUAGGUGGCAAGCGUUGUCCGGAAUUAUUGGGCGUAAAGCGCGCGCAGGCGGUCCUUUAAGUCUGAUGUGAAAGCCCACGGCUCAACCGUGGAGGGUCAUUGGAAACUGGAGGACUUGAGUGCAGAAGAGGAAAGUGGAAUUCCAUGUGUAGCGGUGAAAUGCGUAGAGAUGUGGAGGAACACCAGUGGCGAAGGCGACUUUCUGGUCUGUAACUGACGCUGAGGCGCGAAAGCGUGGGGAGCAAACAGGAUUAGAUACCCUGGUAG
RNAcentral lists this ribosomal RNA (461 nucleotides) under uncultured bacterium. RNAcentral's name for it is "bacterial SSU rRNA". It matches the Rfam family "Bacterial small subunit ribosomal RNA", at positions 339 to 793 of the family's 1533-position model. The record is from RNAcentral.